Molecule: microRNA precursor, 101 nt
Filed under: Cebus imitator (Panamanian white-faced capuchin)
Lineage: Eukaryota; Metazoa; Chordata; Mammalia; Primates; Cebidae
Description: miRNA (ENSCCAG00000020184.1)
Source: RNAcentral
UGAGGCAGGAGAAUUGCUUGAACCCAGGAGGUGGAGGUUGCAGUGAGCCGAGAUCGAGCCAUUGCACUCCAGCCUGGGUGAGAAGAGUGAGACUCCAUCUC